RNAcentral lists this ribosomal RNA (253 nucleotides) under uncultured bacterium. RNAcentral describes it as "partial 16S ribosomal RNA". It matches the Rfam family "Bacterial small subunit ribosomal RNA", at positions 524 to 776 of the family's 1533-position model. The record is from RNAcentral.
UACGUAGGGUCCGAGCGUUGUUCGGAAUUACUGGGCGUAAAGCGCGCGUAGGCGGACCUGCAAGUCGGGGGUGAAAGCCCGAGGCUCAACCUCGGAACUGCCUUCGAUACUGCGGGUCUCGAGUCCGGGAGAGGUGAGUGGAAUUCCUAGUGUAGAGGUGAAAUUCGUAGAUAUUAGGAAGAACACCAGUGGCGAAGGCGGCUCACUGGCCCGGUACUGACGCUGAGGCGCGAAAGCGUGGGGAGCAAACAGG